This 73-nucleotide transfer RNA is filed under the name Mus musculus (house mouse). Its description in RNAcentral is "tRNA-Ser". Lineage: Eukaryota; Metazoa; Chordata; Mammalia; Rodentia; Muridae. The record is from RNAcentral.
GGAGAGAUGGCUCAGUGGUUAAGAGCACUGACUGCUCUUCCAGAGGUCCUGAGUUCAAAUCCCAGCAACCGCA